UACAUAGCUUAAUGAGGGGAACUCAGGGAACUGAAACAUCUAAGUACCUGAAGGAAGAGAAAGAAAUUCGAUUCCGUAAGUAGCGGCGAGCGAACGCGGAUUAGCCCAAACCAAUAAAGUUUUCUUUAUUGGGGUUGCGGAAAUAUCAUAACGAAGAGGUAUCGUAAUUGAAGAGGUUUGGAAAGACCCACCACAGAAGGUAAUAGUCCUGUAUGUUAAACGAGAAGACUUUAGAUAUGAUCCAGAGUACCACGGGAAACGUGAAACCC
Molecule: ribosomal RNA, 269 nt
Filed under: Clostridioides difficile
Lineage: Bacteria; Bacillati; Bacillota; Clostridia; Peptostreptococcales; Peptostreptococcaceae
Description: partial 23S ribosomal RNA
Rfam family: Bacterial large subunit ribosomal RNA
Source: RNAcentral